AUUGAACGCUGGCGGCAGGCCUAACACAUGCAAGUCGAGCGGAUGAAGGGAGCUUGCUCCUGGAUUCAGCGGCGGACGGGUGAGUAAUGCCUAGGAAUCUGCCUGGUAGUGGGGGAUAACGUCCGGAAACGGGCGCUAAUACCGCAUACGUCCUGAGGGAGAAAGUGGGGGAUCUUCGGACCUCACGCUAUCAGAUGAGCCUAGGUCGGAUUAGCUAGUUGGUGGGGUAAAGGCCUACCAAGGCGACGAUCCGUAACUGGUCUGAGGGGAUGAUCAGUCACACUGGAACUGAGACACGGUCCAGACUCCUACGGGAGGCAGCAGUGGGGAAUAUUGGACAAUGGGCGAAAGCCUGAUCCAGCCAUGCCGCGUGUGUGAAGAAGGUCUUCGGAUUGUAAAGCACUUUAAGUUGGGAGGAAGGGCAGUAGGUUAAUACCUUGCUGUUUUGACGUUACCAACAGAAUAAGCACCGGCUAACUUCGUG
RNAcentral lists this ribosomal RNA (484 nucleotides) under uncultured bacterium. Its description in RNAcentral is "partial 16S ribosomal RNA". It matches the Rfam family "Bacterial small subunit ribosomal RNA", at positions 30 to 507 of the family's 1533-position model. The record is from RNAcentral.